UCUCUCCUUCUCCCUUGCUUGCGCUCUCUCUGUCUCUCUCAAAAAUGAAUAAACAUUUUUUUUUUCAUUAAAAAAAAUUUAAGUGGAUUAUUUCACUUAAACCAUUCUUUCAACACUUAUUUGCACAUGCCCGAAAUGCCAGCAAGGUUCUAGGACUGUGAGAUGGUGGUGGACAAAAGAGACAAAGUCCCAUGGAGAAACAAAGGGCGAUUUAUACACGCAGUGCAAUAUUAUUCAAGGAAACCCUGUCACGUGCCGCCACGUGGAUGGAUGCUGGGGACAGACGCUAAGUGAAAUAAUCCAGGCACAAACAGACGAACACUGUAUGAUCCCACUCACAUGAGAGAAACCAAGUGCCUGCUCUCGAGGGGUCCAUGUUCUAGAGGAGACGUCUCUAGUCCAGCGGCUGCACCGGACUUGGGGUUCAGAGUGAUGAUCUCAUGCUCUGUACAACCCUCCUUGCUGAGGCUCCCACACGGAUGAGUGAACUACACGCCCAUAUUCACCUUGGGCGCCGGCCGGGGGUACACGCUGACACCCUGAGGGGUCCUUGAACUAUCACACAGCCAUGCUGCAGCCUGCUUCUCCGAUGCCGCUGGGCACAGAGCUACCAGCCCCAGGGAUUCUGCCCACUUCCUUCGUCCCCUGGGGGCACAUCAGCCCAGGAUGUCUUCCUGAUGGCUCCCGGACCACAAGAGGUGGGUUCGGUUCAGAGAGGACAGGUGGCCACUUGAAAUGUAGCCAUUCCUGUGCUGACGGGCCCCUGCCAUCCUUCCAGAAGCCGUCUUCCCGUUGGGAUGCUGCCCAACCCUUCUUCAUAGUUGUCCCUCCUAUCACCCGGGGAAAUUCCACUUUUAUUGCUUGCAGGGCUCUUGAUUUUUAAAGCUGAGCCUUGAACACUGCUUUGGCUAGAUCUCUUAUCUGAGUGAUGCCUUCUGAGGGAAGAAGCAGGAGUUUUAGACCCUAAAGACCCAAGAAAGCCCGGGUGGGGUUUUUCCACUUCCCUUGCAGCUCCGUUUUGUCUCCUGCCCCUACACAGCAGUGAUCGCCAUCUGCCUGUGGGCACCAGCCUGAGACAGACGCUAGGGUCCAGGGAGGGAGGUGGACAUCACAUGUCAUGUAGCCCCCUCUGAUUUUGUGGCACAUUGGGGCAGUUGGGUAAUCCUGCCUGGGGAGCAGAGGCCAUCUCGCCAAGUGUCCUGACUCAUCACUGCUCUGUAGGAUGGCUCUUUCAUGGAAAAGUUCUGCACUGAGAUCAUCUUUGGUUUGGGACCCGGCUGUCAGGUCUGGACAGGGCAACUUUCCCUAGUCAUUUAUGGCUCUCCUCCAUGUUCUGGAUGGGGGUCACAUCUGGUUCAGAAAACCAAGUCCCCGAGGAGAUCAUCACUGGAUCUCUGUAAUCAGGGUCCAGUUGUCCUCCCACGUCCUGGCUGAAGUCUGAGGGUGGGGCAGAGCCUCCGGGACUCUGAGUGAUUCUGAGUCAGAGAGGACAGGCCAGGACACUGGCUUCCUGAAGGGUGUUGGUCACAUGUGCACACAGGCAUGUGUGUGCACGUACUCAGACAUACAUAUAUGCAUGUGUACACGCAAACACGUGCGCACCCAUGUACGCAUACGCAACUUAGCGUCUUUGCUAUGGUCACAGUCACACACAUAGAUAAUGUGCCCAGGGAUCUGUGUGCAGACCAGUUUAGCUGCAGAAAGAACCGUUCUUGAAGUGUGUUCUGUCCAAGUCUGUAGGUGGUGGGUGAAAAUGGCUAUAAUAGAUGUAGCCCCCCAGUGAGACUUGUGUGGGCAGGCAGCCUUUCAAGGGUUGGGAAGAAUGUGAGGCUUGGAGGGGUUGGGGAAGUAGAGGGAUCUGAGCUGGGUCUUCACAGACAGGUAGGAUUUGAAUAAAUGAAAGGGCAUGGGGGCAUUUAAGAUACAGGAGGCCGUGUAAAAAAAGGUUGAGGGCAUUAGUGGCUCUGGUGAGUGGUGACAGCAGGCUGGUGGGACCAGAAUGGCAGGUAGUUCGGGAGAACAGUGGCAGCAACAAGGUCUGGCAGAUAAGGCGGGUCAGACUGAAGGGGGCUUGAAAGUCUCCACAAUUAGAAGCCGGUGAUGUUUCUUGAAAAGGACAAGAGGAAAAGGAACGGACGCUGACAUGCUUUCUAGUCACCAGAUUCUGUGCCAGGUACUUUACGUUUAUUUACCCUUCACCAGAGUCCUGUAAGGCAAGAAAAUAUUAUUCCUAGUUUUACCAAUGAGGCAACCGAGGCUCAGCUAGAUGGUAUUACCAGCUCAGGGUGGUGCAGCCGGUAACUGAUGUGGCCAGUUCCAAACUCACUUUCCCCCAGUUCCCAAAGCUCCUGUCUGUUCCCUGUAGCACAUUGCCUCCCAAGAACAGCAGCAGAGCUAAAAUUAAUUUAAGGAAAGAUUCAUCUAGCUGCAGUGAAGACACAGACAGAUUGGAGGCUGGGGUCAGGGGACCUUCUAUUGAAAUAAGCAGGAGUGAGAUGAAUGUACAAGAUGAGCCUGGAACAUGUCACAUCAGAAAGCAAGGAUACCAUCAAAGUGGACACAGGAGCCAAAGUGGUUCCUACCGGCCGAAGACGAGACAAUGCAAACAUCAAUUAGGGUAAUAGCUGCAGGGGAUUGAUCGCAAUGGAUUAAAAUACAUCAGAUAUGUUGAACUCCAGGCCUUUGUCACAAUGCUAAAAGUAAGACACUCACUGGCCGCUUUCGGAGGAGUUCAUUCUUUGGGAAACGUGUCUAAGAAAGGAAAAUAUCCAGCAUUCUCAAGCAUUCCUUCUGCUUUUCCCAUAUGAAGUUUCUCCUUUUAGAAGCCUUCUAGCUAAUAACUGAAGAAGGAGCUGUAGAAUUAGAACAUCACCGUGUGCCAGCCUCUCACGGAUGAAUGGAUCUGGCCCCAGUGCCUAAUAAUAUCCCAAGAGCUAACCAGGUAGAUAACCAUAUACCUCCUCAUGGAAAGAACACCGCCACUUUUGGUGUUUCUGGCCAAAAACAAUCAUGCUUGAAUUGGAUUAAGCCUCUAGAUCUAAAUAUGAACUCGCAGGGAUUUCAAAGGACAGAGAAACAUAUUAAGGGACAUCUUGGGGAUGCGAUCAACAAAAUCCAGACUGCGGGAUCACUGACUGGAUAUCUGAUAUUCAUCAGGAAUUGAUAUCGUUUUUGAAAGGAAUGGUUCUGGUUUUGUGGAUUUGUGCUAAAAAAACAAACUCUGGUCUUAUUGAGAAACCUCCUGGAGUAUUUACAGAUGAGAUGAUACGAUGUCUGAGGGGGGAGUUUGGAGGGUGGGGGUAGUUGUAGAUACAACAAGGCUGGCUACGAGUUGAAAAGUGUUGAAUUCAGGUGGUAGAAAGGCAUCGUCUUCUCUACUUUGGCAUCUAUUGAAAAUGUGCCUCGGAUGGGAUGCUGCUGUUGCUGCGGUGGCAAAGGGAAAGCAGUGCUUAGCGGGGAGGUUUAGAAGGGACAGGAGAAUGAACCAGAGCUGGAUCUGGGGCACCGGGGGAGGGCGAGGCAUGGAUGCGUCUAAGCCCCUGACCCCCAUCAGUGUGCUGGCAGCAUAUGGUCCAGCACCACCCAGCUCCUGACUGCAGACAAGCUCUUCUGCCUUGGAAGUGCUGAGAAGUGUUGCCCGCCCAACCCGGAGGACCGUCUGCCAAUUGUUAAUAAUCUGCCAGAAUCCCAGCUCCAAGGCCACCUCAGCUGUGCCGUCUUCUGGAGGCAAUCAUGCCCCCUCCCGGGCUCCCCUGGUCCUCAUUCAGACUGGCCCGGAUCACAGUCUCACCUGCAUUUCGGUAGGUUGUGUUCAGUCCCUUGUCACCCCCAGUGCAUGUGCCCCUGGGGCAGGCAGAACUCACCAGGGAAUCCAGAGCGGCUCCACAUGGGAGACAUGUGGGACCUGCCUAUUGGUUGUGAAACGAACAGCCCCCUAGUUCCCCACUGGCAGGCGAGGAUAGUUAAGCAGAGGGCGGAGGACUGGACAAGAAGAGACAGUCUUGACAUUGGCCAGGAGAGGCUCUGCCAGAAUCUAGACCCUCAGCUGUUUCCAUGGCCCCGUGGGCAGCUGCUUCUGAAUCCCUUCCUCAAAGUCAAGCGCAUUGAGGACCUAGGAGGAGAAUGAUCCUGAAGGUGCUCCCCAUCAGGUCAUGCUCUGGGUCCAGGCACCUCAUGUGCCCCACGCUCUGCUCUGGGAGUUCAGAAGGUGCCAUUAUAGGCAGCCUUGCCCUGGGAACCCGGGGAGAAGGUCCAGCGAUAGAGCUGGAGGGGAGCAUGAGGUAGAAGGCCUGGGUGCCAUAUCCCAGGCUCUGCGGAGAUGUCUGGGAUGGGCUGCUGGCGGUGCCCCCUUCUGCUAGUGCUGAGUCCCCGUGGCCUCUGUGGGAACGCCACGUCUUGGACCCGUUCCAGGCUCAGUAAUUACAUUCUGCCUGUUAAACUCCCUCUGCGGUCUCAAUUGGAUACUGUUGUCAUUGAGUUUGCUUUCUCAAAUCAGCUUUUCAGGGUGAUGUCUGCAAGGCUGUGCCACUGGGAGCUGUCUCACAAGGUGGAGACGCGGAGCAGAACCCCGGGCCUUGCUUCAGGAACUCCGGAGCCCUGUGCAGAAUCAUCAGUAAUGGUUAAGACUUCCGGCUAAGCAGUGCCCUCCUCCUGAGUGUCUGACGUCAGCUCUCAAGUGCUCCCGAGAAUUGAGACGAAAAAGUGUGAGUGACUUUUGAGGGACCAGUUAGAGAUGAUCCGCUUUAUGUGUGUAAGGCACUUGAUAACACUUCUCGUUUGUGCUGGCAUUCACGUCCUCGCAGCGACCCAAACCUAGAGUCACCUCCAUCUGCCGCCUGGACUGCCGGCAGCAUCCACCCUUGUUCCUUUAAUUCAUUUUCCACCACAGACGGGAAGGAUCUUUCUAGCACGCCGUUUGUCACGUCCUUCUUCUGCCUGAAACUCUUCCAUGAUCUCAGCUUUCCCUUUCAGAAUGAUCUUGAAGACUCUGGAGGACCCUUAGGCAGUUCAUGAAGCCCGAGGCCUGUUGUUAACACUGUGACCAUCUCCAGUGAACUCCUGGCUGGGCCCUGCUGACACUCUCUGCCUCCUUUUCACUGCUUUGUCCGGGAGCCUCUCCAGUUCUGACUCUGGGCCCUUCACCCCCUUUCUGCCAGCAGCACCAGUUAUCUCAGUUCUGACGUGGUCUGCUUGCAGAGAGAGCCUCAGGUCCCACAGGUUGAGGGCUGGCUCCUUCAAGACCGCCCCUCCCUCCAUGCAAGUCCAGAGGUGGUCCCAUCAUCAUCCCAAGGCCCGGCUGGGGCUGGAUGGGCUGGCCUUCCACGGUGGCCCAGACUGCUGCUCCUCGUGAUCUCAGGGGUCUGAGUUUAUUGUGGAGGCUGCUGGGCUGGUGGAUUCCUUCUUCCCUGUGCUCACCCCAGAGGAGUUGCCACAAAGUGCUGAUCAUCCAGUCUCAUUGAAAGUAGCACAUUCGUGUGAACGGGGCCCCGGGAGAGCAUUUCCACGCCCAAGUCGCCGAAGCGUUUGCGGAAAGCUCCUGGCCAGAAAAGACUGGACGUGUGGAUGGGCUUCUCGGGGAGAGGAGCAGGGGCGUCCCUGGAGGGAGCCCCCAGAAUGCUGAUGCCACGGACAGGCCACACAAGUGCCGCGACUGUCUAACUCCACCGAAUGUGUAAUUAUAGCAACACAAGCAUCAAAUUACCAGGGACAAGUAGCUGCAAAGUCACAUCCAUUCAGCUUGCUAAAUGGUGUUCAGCAGACCCGCACUUGGGAGAGCCCAGGACGUCGGAAACUGGCGGAUGCCUUAGCAGCAGGACGCUCCUUGGUGCUGUAGAGGAGUGCUGGGGAUCCCUCCAUCCAGAUUCCUAGACCCGUGGGGAGGAGGUCAGCUGUUCCCAUUUUGUGAUACUGCAAGUGACCCUUCGGUGUCUGGGAAUGCAUUUUUCUGAUUAUUCCCGAGGGUCUGCUGGCCGAGGAAAUAAGGAAGAAAAAAGAAUCAUUGGGGAAGAGAAGGUCAUGCCCCCAGGCUCAAUGCUGAGUCAGGACCUGCCAUUUGGAGAUGGGGUGUAUCAGUUCCUCUAGAGAAGGAUCGUCUAUCCAUUGGCUUGGGAUUUCCCCAUUUGUGGGCAUUCUGGAGCCAGGAAAGAGCAGAGGGCGAGCUGUCUCACCUGUCAGUGUGCAAGCCUUCCUUCAAUUCCCUUACAUCCAGUCCUGGACCCUCCACCACCACCUCCUCAAUACCUGCCAACUGUGAGGAAAGUGAGGUCUGGAUAAAGUAAGUGAUUUAUUCAAUAGCUCUUCUGAGAAAAUGAGUGGCAGAGCAAGGUCAUGUGCCCACAACCACUUUUAUGAUUCUACUUUACCACUUGGAUGUUUUGAGGAAUAAAAGAUCACCUUUGACCCACACCUGGAACCCUGAUCUCUGAUCUCCUACUUUUGGAAUCAACCCACUUUGAGAUGCAGAGCCCAGACUUUUUAAAGCUCUGUGGUCUAUGGAUUCACCAUACUCUAAGUGUUGGUUUCCCACUUCUGUCCCUCCUCCCCGGAUACUGACUGCCUCUAGAUCCAACCUGGGUAUGUAUAUGGGAUAUAUACCAUGAUGGAUCCUGAAGAAAUGUGAAGACAUGGGAAGUUGGGAUUGUCUCCCUAUAAGACAAAUGCUCUUGGAUCGAUCCAACCAGCAGGCAUUCGCUGAAGGCUACCUGCGCACACAAAGCUAAAAUACAUGGUGAUACCAAA
Long non-coding RNA from Felis catus (domestic cat), 6738 nucleotides. RefSeq lists it as uncharacterized. NCBI's taxonomy places the organism in Eukaryota, Metazoa, Chordata, Mammalia, Carnivora, Felidae. The record is from RefSeq and is a predicted model, not a curated record. The transcript is spliced from 17 exons.